CCUGCCGGACCUGACUGCUAUCGGAUUGAUACUAAGCCAUGCGAGUCAUUGUAGCAAUACAAGGCAGACGGCUCAGUAACGCGUAGUCAACCUAACCUAUGGACGGGAAUAACCUCGGGAAACUGAGAAUAAUGCCCGAUAGAACACUAUAUCUGGAAUGGUUUGUGUUCCAAAUGAUUUAUCGCCGUAGGAUGGGACUGCGGCCUAUCAGUUUGUUGGUGAGGUAAUGGCCCACCAAGACUAUUACAGGUACGGGCUCUGAGAGGAGUAGCCCGGAGAUGGGUACUGAGACACGGACCCAGGCCCUAUGGGGCGCAGCAGGCGAGAAAACUUUGCAAUGUGCGAAAGCACGGCAAGGUUAAUCCGAGUGGUUUCUGCUAAAGGAACCUUUUGUCGGUCCUAGAAACACCGAUGAAUAAGGGGUGGACAAGUUCUGGUGUCAGCCGCCGCGGUAAAACCAGCACCUCAAGUGGUCAGGAUGAUUAUUGGGCCUAAAGCAUCCGUAGCCUGCUUUGUUAGUUUUCGGUUAAAUCUAUACGCUCAACGUAUAGGCUGCCGGGAAUACUGCAAAGCUAGGGAGUGGGAGAGGUAGACGGUACUCGGUAGGAAGGGGUAAAAUCCUUUGAUCUAUUGAUGACCACCUGUGGCGAAGGCGGUCUACCAGAACACGUCCGACGGUGAGGGAUGAAAGCUGGGGGAGCAAACCGGAUUAGAUACCCGGGUAGUCCCAGCCGUAAACUAUGCAAACUCAGUGAUGCAUUGGCUUGUGGCCAAUGCAGUGCUGCAGGGAAGCCGUUAAGUUUGCCGCCUGGGAAGUACGUACGCAAGUAUGAAACUUAAAGGAAUUGGCGGGGGAGCACCACAA
This 865-nucleotide ribosomal RNA is filed under the name uncultured archaeon. RNAcentral's name for it is "bacterial SSU rRNA". It matches the Rfam family "Archaeal small subunit ribosomal RNA", at positions 13 to 884 of the family's 1478-position model. The record is from RNAcentral.